AUUGAACGCUGGCGGAAUGCUUUACACAUGCAAGUCGAACGGCAGCACGUACUUCGGUCUGGUGGCGAGUGGCGAACGGGUGAGUAAUGUAUCGGAACGUGCCCAGUCGUGGGGGAUAACGUAGUGAAAAUUACGCUAAUACCGCAUACGAUCUAUGGAUGAAAGCGGGGGAUCGCAAGACCUCGCGCGAUUGGAGCGGCCGAUUUCAGAUUAGGUAGUUGGUGGGGUAAAGGCCACCAAGCCAACGAUCUGUAGCUGUGCUGAGAGGACGACCAGCCACACUGGAACUGAGACACGGUCCAGAAUCCUACGGGAGGCAGCAGUGGGGAAUUUUGGACAAUGGGCGAAAGCCUGAUCCAGCCAUUCCGCGUGCAGGAUGAAGGCCCUCGGGUUGUAAACUGCUUUUGUACAGAACGAAAAGGUUUCUACUAAUACUAGGAGCUCAUGACGGUACUGUAAGAAUAAGCACCGGCUAACUACGUGCCAGCAGCCGCAGUAA
This 499-nucleotide ribosomal RNA is filed under the name uncultured bacterium. RNAcentral describes it as "partial 16S ribosomal RNA". It matches the Rfam family "Bacterial small subunit ribosomal RNA", at positions 30 to 523 of the family's 1533-position model. The record is from RNAcentral.